This 168-nucleotide long non-coding RNA is filed under the name Sus scrofa (pig). RNAcentral describes it as "lncRNA (ENSSSCG00055005953.1)". Lineage: Eukaryota; Metazoa; Chordata; Mammalia; Artiodactyla; Suidae. The record is from RNAcentral.
UCACCUGAUUUAAGCCUUUCUUCUGCCAAGGUCACCAGCACCUCUGGUGGGCGAGAGAUGUGAUCACUUAUUCCGUGUCCCAACCAGGGACCCGUAAGAUUUCUCACCCACUCUGACAGCCUCCGAGCAAGGUCCCUGCUGGGCAACACUGAUGAAGUCCGUGCCGCG